RNAcentral lists this ribosomal RNA (764 nucleotides) under uncultured Treponema sp. RNAcentral describes it as "bacterial SSU rRNA". It matches the Rfam family "Bacterial small subunit ribosomal RNA", at positions 28 to 776 of the family's 1533-position model. Lineage: Bacteria; Pseudomonadati; Spirochaetota; Spirochaetia; Treponematales; Treponemataceae. The record is from RNAcentral.
AACGAACGCUGGCGGCGCGUCUUAAGCAUGCAAGUCGAACGGCAAGAGAGGAGCUUGCUUCUCUCCUAGAGUGGCGGACUGGUGAGGAACACGUGGGUAAUCUACCCUUAAGAUGGGGAUAGCUGCUAGAAAUAGCAGGUAAUACCGAAUACACUCGGCAUAUCACAAGAGGUGUUGAGGAAAGGAAGCUACGGCUUCGCUUGAGGAUGAGCUUGCGUCCCAUUAGCUAGUUGGUGAGGUAACGGCCCACCAAGGCGACGAUGGGUAUCCGGCCUGAGAGGGUGAACGGACACAUUGGGACUGAGAUACGGCCCAAACUCCUACGGGAGGCAGCAGCUAAGAAUAUUCCGCAAUGGACGGAAGUCUGACGGAGCGACGCCGCGUGGAUGAAGAAGGCUGAAAAGUUGUAAAAUCCUUUUGUUGAUGAAGAAUAAGGGUGAGAGGGAAUGCUCAUCUGAUGACGGUAAUCGACGAAUAAGCCCCGGCUAAUUACGUGCCAGCAGCCGCGGUAAUACGUAGGGGGCAAGCGUUAUCCGGAAUUACUGGGCGUAAAGGGUGCGUAGGCGGCUAGUUAAGUCGAGGUUAAAAGGCAGUAGCUCAACUACUGUUGGGCCUUGAAACUAAUUAGCUUGAGUAUAGGAGAGGAAAGUGGAAUUCCCGGUGUAGCGGUGAAAUGCGUAGAUAUCGGGAGGAAUACCGGUGGCGAAGGCGACUUUCUGGACCAUAACUGACGCUGAGGCACGAAAGCGUGGGUAGCAAACAGG